This 1865-nucleotide unclassified non-coding RNA is filed under the name Hevea brasiliensis (rubber tree). Lineage: Eukaryota; Viridiplantae; Streptophyta; Magnoliopsida; Malpighiales; Euphorbiaceae. The record is from RNAcentral.
UGGACAACCCAACCAUCCUCUCUCUCUCUAUCCCUAUGCUCUCUCUCAUUGUCUCUUUCGUUCAUGUAAGCAACAAAAUUAUUAUUUUCUUCUCAAUUUGUCCUCCAUGUAUGCUGCUCUGCACCUUUGCAUUUACAUUGCAGAAGUUGAUGGUUUUGCUGGUUUGAAAGUUGAACACUUCCUUAUUUGGAAAAGCUAGUUGUUAUUUCUAUUUUAGGCCGGGUGGUAGUUUUCCUGUGCAAGCUGGGUCUUUAUUAAUUCCUUUUUUCCCCUUUCUUAAUCUCUUCAUUUGUUUUCUUGUUUUGGUUUCUCUUUCUCUUUCACCAUUGUUUUCAUUAGACACUUUAAAUAUAACAUAAAAAAUCAUCAGAUUUUCCUCUUAGCUGAGAACUACUGGAAGAUGUUGACAUUUCCCCGCAUUGCCAUGGGAACAGUCAUCUUUUUAAGUUUCGCUUUGGUUAUAUAUAUCACCUCCAAAAGUGAUCGCUGUGGCUUAUUAUAUCAAUUACAAUAACCAUAAGUUAGUUCUUGUUCAAUUUUAUCCAUUUUCUUUUGUUUAGAAAAAUAAUUGAGUUUCCCUUAAUCUUCUUAAGAAUGCAGAAGUGAUACCCGCCUCAAAAAGAUCUAGACAUAUAGCUACAAGCCCACGUUCGAAGAAAGCAAAAAUGGUGGAAUCUAACGUCAAGGCAAAUAUAAACCAGCCUUUAAGCAUGGACAUGGACCCACCUUUCCAUGAGAUCUACAAGACCCUUCUAGACAGCACCAUUGAAGAAUCAAGAACCAAGACUGGCAUCGUUGAGGAAUGUGAACUUCCUUUGAUCGAUCUUGGUCGUUUAAGCUUGGAUGAAUCUGAUGAGAAACACAAGUGCGAGGAAGAGAUAGCUAGGGCUUCGCAGGAGUGGGGAUUCUUUCAGGUUGUGAAUCAUGGGAUUUCAAGUGAGAUUUUGGAGAAGAUUAGAAGAGAACAAGUAAAGCUUUUUAAACAACCUUUCUAUAAAAAGAGCAAAGAAGACAAGUUCUUGAAUUUCUCUUCUGGAACCUAUCGCUGGGGAACUCCUACAGCAACUUGCCUCAGUCAGUUGUCAUGGUCUGAAGCUUUUCACAUUCCUAUGACUGAUAUAUCUGCUUCCAAUGGUUUCACUAAUCUCAGGUAAUUAAUUUCACAUAUAUUUAUCUUCUUAAAAAUUUUCUUUCAAAUAUUUUCCUCUCCGUUUUUAAAUGAUCUUAUAGAAAUUACAUUCAUAGAUAACCUACAGGGCUACAAUUAAUAGCUUCAGGAAAUGUUGAAGAUAUGGAACUAAUUAAUUUUAUAAAUUUUCAUGGGAUUCAUAAAUUCGGUUUAAUUCCAUAAGAAUUUAUUAUACUUCACUCAAUUUUUUUUUUUGUCAAACUUAGUGUCAUUAUUGGAUAGCUGUUCAUUGAAAUCAAGAUGAAUUGAAAUUUUGUGUUUUUCUAUGAACAAAUUGACAUAUAUAUGCCAUUAGAAGUUUGCAAAACAUUCUUCUUUUCGAUUUGAAUUAGACAGUGUAUCCUACUCUUUUUUAGGAUAAUGAAUUUGUCUACUAUGAAUAAGGAUGUGGGUAUUAUAAAUUCGACUUCAUAUGAUAACCAACUUAACAACUAUUAGAUCAAAUAUUUCAAUUUAAAUUCACUCAUUAUACAUAUUUUAAUUAAUUUUUAUAUAAAUCUUGAUAUAAAUAUUUAAUCUAACGAUUAAAAACUUGUAUUCAACGAGGUCGAGUUUAAAUUAGAGGCACCCUUUGAACAAUCAUUAUACCUAAGUAAAUUAUAUAGUUUUGUUUUCCCAUCAUCAUAUGUUAAUUAAAAGGCAUUUCCCAAAAUGAAAAGUCUCAUACAAUUUAUUU